Molecule: ribosomal RNA, 301 nt
Filed under: uncultured bacterium
Lineage: Bacteria
Description: partial 16S ribosomal RNA
Rfam family: Bacterial small subunit ribosomal RNA
Source: RNAcentral
CAGUAGCCGCGGUAAUACGUAGGUGGCAAGCGUUGUCCGGAAUUAUUGGGCGUAAAGGGCUCGCAGGCGGCUUCUUAAGUCUGAUGUGAAAGCCCCCGGCUCAACCGGGGAGGGUCAUUGGAAACUGGGAAACUUGAGUGCAGAAGAGGAGAGUGGAAUUCCACGUGUAGCGGUGAAAUGCGUAGAGAUGUGGAGGAACACCAGUGGCGAAGGCGACUCUCUGGUCUGUAACUGACGCUGAGGAGCGAAAGCGUGGGGAGCGAACAGGAUUAGAUACCCCUGUAGUCCCUGUCUCUUAUAC